GGAAUAUUGGUCAAUGGGCGCAAGCCUGAACCAGCCAUCCCGCGUGCAGGAAGACGGCCCUAUGGGUUGUAAACUGCUUUUCCAGGGGGAGAAACUUGCGCACGUGUUGCGAAAUUGACGGUACCCUGGGAAUAAGCAUCGGCUAACUCCGUGCCAGCAGCCGCGGUAAUACGGAGGAUGCGAGCGUUAUCCGGAUUCAUUGGGUUUAAAGGGUGCGUAGGCGGACUAUUAAGUCAGUGGUGAAAUCCUGCAGCUUAACUGCAGAACUGCCAUUGAUACUGAUAGCCUUGAGUUUGGUUAAGGUAGGCGGAAUGUGUAAUGUAGCGGUGAUAUGCUUAGAUAUUACACAGAACACCAAGAGCGUAGGCAGCUUACUGAGCCGACACUGACGCUGAGGCACGAAGGCGUGGGGAUCGAA
Molecule: ribosomal RNA, 418 nt
Filed under: uncultured bacterium
Lineage: Bacteria
Description: bacterial SSU rRNA
Rfam family: Bacterial small subunit ribosomal RNA
Source: RNAcentral